This is a non-coding RNA of Schistocerca serialis cubense, 73 nucleotides long. The record is from the annotation of a RefSeq genome assembly. Lineage: Eukaryota; Metazoa; Arthropoda; Insecta; Orthoptera; Acrididae.
GCUGCGGUAGUGUAAUGGUCAGCAUGAUUGCCCAGUAAGCAAGAAGACCUGGGUUCGAGUCCCAACUGCAGUA